GAAAAACACAAUCAGCAAUCUGGAUUUACUAUUCAAAAUUUGGUAUAUUUGACAAUUUAGUAUGCAGUGUAUCUGAUUUGUUUGGAGCUGGGACAGAGACAACAAGCACCACCAUGAGAUAUGGACUCCUGCUCCUACUGAAGUACCCGGAGGUCACAGCUAAAGUCCAAGAAGAGAUUGGCCAUGUGGUUGGCAGACACCGGAGUCCCUGCAUGCAGGACAGGAGCCGCAUGCCCUACACAGAUGCUGUGGUGCAUGAGAUCCAGAGAUAUAUUAACCUCCUUCCCACCAACCUGCCCCAUGCAGUGACAUGUGACGUUAAAUUCAGAAACUACUUCAUCCCUAAGGGCACAACCAUAUUUACAUCACUUUCAUCUGUGCUGCACGAUGAGAAAGAAUUCCCCAACCCAAAGGUGUUUGACCCUGGCCACUUUCUGGAUGAGAGUGGAAACUUUAAGAAAAGUGACUACUUUAUGCCUUUCUCAGCAGGAAAACGGAUUUGUGUGGGAGAGAGCCUGGCCCGCAUGGAGCUGUUUUUGUUCCUGACCACCAUUUUACAGAACUUUAACCUGAAAUCUCUGGUUGAUCCAAAGGACCUUGAUACCACCCCAGUUGCCAGUGGAUUGGCAUCUGUGCCACCCUCAUACCAGAUCUGCUUCAAUCCUGUCUGAAGAAAGGCAGAUUGUUCACUGCUGCUGUGCUGUUGUCUGCAACCUUCCCUCCUCUGGGGCAUUGGCCACUUCCUUCUCCUAUUGGGUAUUCCUUUUCUGACCUCUUUUCUCACAUUUCCCAUGACCUGAAGAUCAAAUGAACACCCGACCUUCAUUAAGGAGAGUUUCUGAAGUUUCGCUGUACAAAUACACCUAUUUCCUAUACUCUCUAACAUUUGUGUUUACCACCACAUAUGUUACCACUUAUCUAAUGUGAACAUAUUAAAAU
Molecule: RNA transcript, 939 nt
Organism: Galeopterus variegatus (Sunda flying lemur)
Lineage: Eukaryota; Metazoa; Chordata; Mammalia; Dermoptera; Cynocephalidae
Gene name: cytochrome P450 2C42-like
Exons: 4
Source: RefSeq, a predicted model, not a curated record